Molecule: ribosomal RNA, 253 nt
Filed under: uncultured bacterium
Lineage: Bacteria
Description: partial 16S ribosomal RNA
Rfam family: Bacterial small subunit ribosomal RNA
Source: RNAcentral
UACGGGGGGUGCGAGCGUUAUCCGGAAUUACUGGGUUUAAAGGGUGCGUAGGCGGCUUUGUAAGUCAGGAGUGAAAGUUUGCGGCUCAACCGUAAAAUUGCUUCUGAUACUGCAUGGCUAGAAUUAGGAUGAGGUCAGCGGAAUGUGGCAUGUAGCGGUGAAAUGCAUAGAUAUGCCAUAGAACACCAAUUGCGAAGGCAGCUGACUAGACCUGGAUUGACGCUGAGGCACGAAAGCGUGGGGAGCGAACAGG